This 249-nucleotide long non-coding RNA is filed under the name Dasypus novemcinctus (nine-banded armadillo). RNAcentral's name for it is "lncRNA (ENSDNOG00000052214.1)". Lineage: Eukaryota; Metazoa; Chordata; Mammalia; Cingulata; Dasypodidae. The record is from RNAcentral.
GGGACCCACCUGGAGCACAGCGCCGCGAAUGGAUGGGCGGAGCGUCGAGACCCUCCGCGGAGGCGACGGCGCCGGCCCGCCAGAAGCGCGCGCGACUGGGAGGCGGAUGCUCCAGGAUGAAACGCCAUAGGCCUCUCAGCAGCAGUGACAGUUCAGACGAAAGUAAGUAGACCCGGCCAGCAGCUGGGUAAUUUCUGUAUCUGUACCCCUUGUGGUUUCCUUCUUCGACUUGAGGACAACUGUUCCAUG